UCUAACUUUUGGUAAUGGUUAUCCCUUUUGUUCGAGUUAAACCAUUGUUUAGAAUUUAAGUCAUCACUUGUUGUAUUCGUUUGUUCUUGUUCAAAUACAACUCGUGUGACAAUAUCAAAUACCCGUCGUCCAAAUUUGAAGGAAGAUUGGGAAUUUUUGGAAAAUCAAAGAGGAACUAGAAUUUUUUACAUGAAACAAUCUUAUAUAACUGUUUCCAAAUUUAUGGAACGGCAAGUUGCAAGGAAAUUUGAUAGUGAUGUACGGAAACAAAGAGCUACCGAAUCGCAAUCCCAUUUGAACAACUACGAAAUUUUACAGGAACUUGAAACUAGCAAAUAAGAUGGCAGUGAAGACGACAGUGAAGAGGAACAUGUUUUCUCUUCCGGCAACAAAAAGAAGAACAAUAGUUGAAACAGUACCUUUUCAAGUAUCAGCCAAAAACUUAUCAGAAAUCACGUCAUCGACAGCCGAUCGAAGUAGAUUAUCAGUUCGACAACAACUACGCAUUCAGUGCACUAUUGUCACUGGUACCGGAGGUUCGCUGAAUAAUAUGUCGAUGUCUCUUUUGUGGCGGCAGAGAAAUGCUGCUCUAGAAAAAUCAAUGAAGAAAAUCAAGGCCCAUUGGUUGUUGUCAAAGCCAAAGUUUGUUGAUUCUCUAUUGGGAUUCCAAGCUAAUUCAACUUCUCUCCGGACGUAAAGAAGAACGCGUGGCUGUUUUAGUUAGCGGAUCAGUUAAUGGUCCAAAGCUUAUUCGUGUUCCACCGAUGGAUAAUUCAAGUGGAUUGUUUCAUUGUCAAGCUACCAUUAAUAUAUGAAAAGAAUGGGACAUCUGAGAUAAUGUUAUUGGGACUUGCUCCGAUAAAACAGCAAGCAAUACAGUUGGUUUGUCGCCAUCAUCACUGCGAGUUGCAUAUAAAACACGCAUUCACUGCCUUGAGAGGAGACUGUAAUAGACCUGGCGAGCCUAUAUUUAAACGAUUCUAAACUGAUUUCCUGACUUUCAACUUCGAUUAUUCUAAGCUUCAGUUGUUUUAGUGUCUGAGUGAUCAGUCAACUCGGAUAUGGAUUCAGGCGCACUCCGUUCUCACUUAGGCAGAACAGUGUUUAAAAUACAAGACGUUACCAAGGGAGGACUAUCUUGAAUUGAAAACCCGGUGCGGUUCUCACGCGCGGUUCAUGUCACAAUUAAUUUAUAUUUUGAAGAUUGAAUUGUUGUCUGGCUCAUUCAAUAUGUCCCAAGAAGAAAGAUCAAUUAUCCAUAGAAUGGCCAAGUUCAUUGCUUACUUCUACUCAAAACUGUUACUUCGUUCUAGAAUCACUGUAUUUGCAGCAGUGGAUGACUUUCACUUCAUGGCAGCAAUGACUUGGUAUCAGGAAGAAGAUUCAGCUAUCGCCACAGCUGUUCUUGCGUCCAUAAAUCGUCAUCUGUGGUACCUUACAGAAGAACUUAUAGUGCUGGCGAUAUUCAAUGAGAACGUGUUAAACUUCACCAGGACGCUUCUAACUAAGAAAUUCUACUCUACUUCUCGUCAGACUUCUUUUAAACUCGGCAAGCCGAAAUUCCCCACUAUUGAAAUCAACAACUCGACACCAACAUAUAUUCAUUCCUUUCUUGGACCUAGAUCUUGGCUUUUUUCUUGUUUUUAUUAAACCUAAAUAAUUCCUAAGAAUGGCUACAGUUGCCUACAGACUAUAGAGCAGUAAAACAUCCUGCGUUGCGCGUUUUCCACAAAUGCGAAAAUCUCAUUUGUGUCCAAGUUGGUCUGCUGCGGCUGCAGCGUCUUAUGGAGAAACCA
RNAcentral lists this long non-coding RNA (1796 nucleotides) under Daphnia magna. RNAcentral describes it as "uncharacterized LOC116933306". Lineage: Eukaryota; Metazoa; Arthropoda; Branchiopoda; Diplostraca; Daphniidae. The record is from RNAcentral.